CCUACGGGCGGCAGCAGUGGGGAAUAUUGGACAAUGGGGGAAACCCUGAUCCAGCGACGCCGCGUGAGUGAAGAAGUAUUUCGGUACGUAAAGCUCUAUCAGCAGGAAAGAAAAUGACGGUACCUGACUAAGAAGCCCCGGCUAACUACGUGCCAGCAGCCGCGGUAAUACGUAGGGGGCAAGCGUUAUCCGGAUUUACUGGGGGUAAAGGGAGCGUAGACGGCAGCGCAAGUCUGGAGUGAAAUGCCGGGGCUCAACCCCGGAACUGCUCUGGAAACUGGGAAGCUGGAGUGCAGGAGAGGUGAGCGGAAUUCCUGGUGUAGCGGUGAAAUGCGUAGAUAUCAGGAGGAACACCGGCGGCGAAGGCGGCUUACUGGACUGUAACUGACGUUGAGGCUCGAAGGCGUGGGGAGCAAACAGGAUUAGAUACCCGAGUAGUC
Molecule: ribosomal RNA, 440 nt
Filed under: uncultured bacterium
Lineage: Bacteria
Description: partial 16S ribosomal RNA
Rfam family: Bacterial small subunit ribosomal RNA
Source: RNAcentral